GCCCCCGUAGCUCAGCGGAUAGAGCAGCUGCCUUCUAAGCAGACGGUCGGGGGUUCAACUCCCUCCGGGGGCGCCA
This 76-nucleotide transfer RNA is filed under the name Chloroflexota bacterium. Its description in RNAcentral is "Chloroflexi bacterium tRNA-Arg". It matches the Rfam family "tRNA". From Rfam's summary of the family: Transfer RNA (tRNA) molecules are approximately 80 nucleotides in length. Their secondary structure includes four short double-helical elements and three loops (D, anti-codon, and T loops). The record is from RNAcentral. RNAcentral also lists the same sequence under 1 other name. Lineage: Bacteria; Bacillati; Chloroflexota.